Apiotrichum porosum is the source of this 87-nucleotide non-coding RNA. The record is from the annotation of a RefSeq genome assembly. NCBI's taxonomy places the organism in Eukaryota, Fungi, Basidiomycota, Tremellomycetes, Trichosporonales, Trichosporonaceae.
AUCGCUAUGGCUUAGUGGGAAAGCGCCAGGCUCAUACCUACUGCUGUGAUCACCUGGAGAUCCCUCGAUCGAAACGAGGUGGCGAUA